GGCAGCAGUGGGGAAUUUUGGACAAUGGGGGCAACCCUGAUCCAGCCAUGCCGCGUGAGUGAAGAAGGCCUUCGGGUUGUAAAGCUCUUUCGGCGGGGAAGAAAUGGCAACGGCUAAUAUCCGUUGUUGAUGACGGUACCCGCAUAAGAAGCACCGGCUAACUACGUGCCAGCAGCCGCGGUAAUACGUAGGGUGCGAGCGUUAAUCGGAAUUACUGGGCGUAAAGCGUGCGCAGGCGGUUUCGUAAGACAGACGUGAAAUCCCCGGGCUCAACCUGGGAACUGCGUUUGUGACUGCGAGGCUAGAGUACGGCAGAGGGGGGUAGAAUUCCACGUGUAGCAGUGAAAUGCGUAGAGAUGUGGAGGAACACCGAUGGCGAAGGCAGCCCCCUGGGUUAGUACUGACGCUCAUGCACGAAAGCGUGGGGAGCAAACAGGAUUAGAUACCCUGGUAGUCCACGCCCUAAACGAUGUCAACUAGGUGUUGGAAGGGUAUAAACCUUUUAGUACCGCAGCUAACGC
Molecule: ribosomal RNA, 521 nt
Filed under: uncultured bacterium
Lineage: Bacteria
Description: bacterial SSU rRNA
Rfam family: Bacterial small subunit ribosomal RNA
Source: RNAcentral